Molecule: ribosomal RNA, 584 nt
Filed under: Microbacterium sp.
Lineage: Bacteria; Bacillati; Actinomycetota; Actinomycetes; Micrococcales; Microbacteriaceae
Description: bacterial SSU rRNA
Rfam family: Bacterial small subunit ribosomal RNA
Source: RNAcentral
GAACGGGUGAGUAACACGUGAGCAACCUGCCCUGGACUCUGGGAUAAGCGCUGGAAACGGCGUCUAAUACUGGAUAUGAGCUCUCAUCGCAUGGUGGGGGUUGGAAAGAUUUUUCGGUCUGGGAUGGGCUCGCGGCCUAUCAGCUUGUUGGUGAGGUAAUGGCUCACCAAGGCGUCGACGGGUAGCCGGCCUGAGAGGGUGACCGGCCACACUGGGACUGAGACACGGCCCAGACUCCUACGGGAGGCAGCAGUGGGGAAUAUUGCACAAUGGGCGGAAGCCUGAUGCAGCAACGCCGCGUGAGGGAUGACGGCCUUCGGGUUGUAAACCUCUUUUAGCAGGGAAGAAGCGAGAGUGACGGUACCUGCAGAAAAAGCGCCGGCUAACUACGUGCCAGCAGCCGCGGUAAUACGUAGGGCGCAAGCGUUAUCCGGAAUUAUUGGGCGUAAAGAGCUCGUAGGCGGUUUGUCGCGUCUGCUGUGAAAUCCCGAGGCUCAACCUCGGGCCUGCAGUGGGUACGGGCAGACUAGAGUGCGGUAGGGGAGAUUGGAAUUCCUGGUGUAGCGGUGGAAUGCGCAGAUAUC